RNAcentral lists this long non-coding RNA (491 nucleotides) under Linum usitatissimum (flax). RNAcentral describes it as "long non-coding RNA (LUSI_LNC007214)". The record is from RNAcentral. Lineage: Eukaryota; Viridiplantae; Streptophyta; Magnoliopsida; Malpighiales; Linaceae.
AGGAUUUUGAGCGUAGAUACAAUGAAGAAGCCUCUUCCGCCGAAUCAAGUUGGCGAGAUUUGCGUUCGAGGACCGAAUAUGAUGCGCGGUAGAGAACUCAGUCAUCUCCUCGUCAUUAAAUUCGGUUUCCUCGUCAUUAAUGUUCUGCAAAACUGUAACAGGAUAUCAUAAUGAUGCCGAAGCAACGAAACAAACAAUAGACAAGGAAGGAUGGGUGCAUACGGGUGAUCUCGGGUAUUUCGAUGCAAAAGGACAGUUAUUCGUGGUGGACAGAAUCAAAGAGUUGAUCAAAUGUUACGGCUUUCAGGUGAGUUAUGAUUUGUUUGUUGUAACGUGUACGUACCUUCUGAUUUGGUGUUGACGAAUGAGAGUGUAGGUGGCACCAGCAGAACUGGAAGGGCUUCUGCUUUCUCAUCCUGAUAUAUUAGACGCUGUUGUCAUCCCGUAAGCACCCAUCCUUUUCUUCAACUGCUAAGGCUGGUUUACUGGAG